This 328-nucleotide long non-coding RNA is filed under the name Nicotiana benthamiana. Its description in RNAcentral is "long non-coding RNA (NBEN_LNC029806)". The record is from RNAcentral. Lineage: Eukaryota; Viridiplantae; Streptophyta; Magnoliopsida; Solanales; Solanaceae.
UUAAAAGUGAACCAAACUAAGUCUGAAACUGAAAAGAUGGGGUUCAGCAAUAUUAAGCAGCAAGAAGAAUCCCUUUCAAUGUUUUUUCCUCCACCCAGAAUCGAUAGAGCCAACCAAGAAGUGCUGAAGGAAAUCGAAAUGAAACCCAGAAGAAGCUGAAGAUUUCUUUUCGUUUUUCUAAUUCUGAUUCUCCCGUUUUUUGUAAUUUUUUUCGUCCGUUUCUUCUCUUUUUUUUUUGGGUAAUUUUCGCGUCUCCUUUUUUUUGUUAUGAAGAAAUGGUUAUAUAGAGUGUAUCCGUAGGGUGUUAAAGGUGAGAGUUUUAUUUGGG